CUGGCGGCAGGCCUAACACAUGCAAGUCGAACGGUAACAGGAAGCAGCUUGCUGCUUCGCUGACGAGUGGCGGACGGGUGAGUAAUGUCUGGGAAACUGCCUGAUGGAGGGGGAUAACUACUGGAAACGGUGGCUAAUACCGCAUAACGUCGCAAGACCAAAGAGGGGGACCUUCGGGCCUCUUGCCAUCAGAUGUGCCCAGAUGGGAUUAGCUUGUUGGUGAGGUAACGGCUCACCAAGGCGACGAUCCCUAGCUGGUCUGAGAGGAUGACCAGCCACACUGGAACUGAGACACGGUCCAGACUCCUACGGGAGGCAGCAGUGGGGAAUAUUGCACAAUGGGCGCAAGCCUGAUGCAGCCAUGCCGCGUGUAUGAAGAAGGCCUUCGGGUUGUAAAGUACUUUCAGCGGGGAGGAAGGUGUUGUGGUUAAUAACCGCAGCAAUUGACGUUACCCGCAGAAGAAGCACCGGCUAACUCCGUGCCAGCAGCCGCGGUAAUACGGAGGGUGCAAGCGUUAAUCGGAAUUACUGGGCGUAAAGCGCACGCAGGCGGUCUGUCAAGUCGGAUGUGAAAUCCCCGGGCUCAACCUGGGAACUGCAUUCGAAACUGGCAGGCUUGAGUCUUGUAGAGGGGGGUAGAAUUCCAGGUGUAGCGGUGAAAUGCGUAGAGAUCUGGAGGAAUACCGGUGGCGAAGGCGGCCCCCUGGACAAAGACUGACGCUCAGGUGCGAAAGCGUGGGGAGCAAACAGGAUUAGAUACCCUGGUAGUCCACGCCGUAAACGAUGUCUACUUGGAGGUUGUGCCCUUGAGGCGUGGCUUCCGGAGCUAACGCGUUAAGUAGACCGCCUGGGGAGUACGGCCGCAAGGUUAAAACUCAAAUGAAUUGACGGGGGCCCGCACAAGCGGUGGAGCAUGUGGUUUAAUUCGAUGCAACGCGAAGAACCUUACCUGGUCUUGACAUCCACAGAAGAAUCCAGAGAUGGAUUUGUGCCUUCGGGAACUGUGAGACAGGUGCUGCAUGGCUGUCGUCAGCUCGUGUUGUGAAAUGUUGGGUUAAGUCCCGCAACGAGCGCAACCCUUAUCCUUUGUUGCCAGCGGUUAGGCCGGGAACUCAAAGGAGACUGCCAGUGAUAAACUGGAGGAAGGUGGGGAUGACGUCAAGUCAUCAUGGCCCUUACGACCAGGGCUACACACGUGCUACAAUGGCGCAUACAAAGAGAAGCGACCUCGCGAGAGCAAGCGGACCUCAUAAAGUGCGUCGUAGUCCGGAUUGGAGUCUGCAACUCGACUCCAUGAAGUCGGAAUCGCUAGUAAUCGUGGAUCAGAAUGCCACGGUGAAUACGUUCCCGGGCCUUGUACACACCGCCCGUCACACCAUGGGAGUGGGUUGCAAAAGAAGUAGGUAGCUUAACCUUCGGGAGGGCGCUUACCACUUUGUGAUUCAUGACUGGGGUGAAGUCGUAACAAGGUAACCGUAGGGGAACCUGCGGUUGGAUCACCUCCUUACCUUAAAGAAGC
Molecule: ribosomal RNA, 1519 nt
Filed under: Salmonella enterica subsp. enterica serovar Enteritidis
Lineage: Bacteria; Pseudomonadati; Pseudomonadota; Gammaproteobacteria; Enterobacterales; Enterobacteriaceae
Description: bacterial SSU rRNA
Rfam family: Bacterial small subunit ribosomal RNA
Source: RNAcentral